UUCGGGGUACACGAGCGGCGAACGGGUGAGUAACACGUGGGUGAUCUGCCUUGCACUUCGGGAUAAGCCUGGGAAACUGGGUCUAAUACCGGAUAUGACCUUCCAGUGCAUGCUGGUUGGUGGAAAGAUUUAUCGGUGCGAGAUGGGCCCGCGGCCUAUCAGCUUGUUGGUGAGGUAACGGCUCACCAAGGCGACGACGGGUAGCCGACCUGAGAGGGUGACCGGCCACACUGGGACUGAGACACGGCCCAGACUCCUACGGGAGGCAGCAGUGGGGAAUAUUGCACAAUGGGCGAAAGCCUGAUGCAGCGACGCCGCGUGCGGGAUGACGGCCUUCGGGUUGUAAACCGCUUUUGACAGGGACGAAGCGCAAGUGACUGUACCUGUAGAAUAAGGACCGGCCAACUACGUGCCAGCAGCCGCGGUAAUACGUAGGGUCCGAGCGUUGUCCGGAAUUACUGGGCGUAAAGAGCUUGUAGGCGGUUCGUCGCGUCGUUUGUGAAAACUUGGGGCUCAACCCCAAGCUUGCAGGCGAUACGGGCGGACUAGAGUACUUCAGGGGAGACUGGAAUUCCUGGUGUAGCGGUGAAAUGCGCAGAUAUCAGGAGGAACACCGGUGGCGAAGGCGGGUCUCUGGGAAGUAACUGACGCUGAGAAGCGAAAGCAUGGGUAGCAAACAGGAUUAGAUA
RNAcentral lists this ribosomal RNA (689 nucleotides) under Nocardia sp. MJBC33. RNAcentral describes it as "bacterial SSU rRNA". It matches the Rfam family "Bacterial small subunit ribosomal RNA", at positions 81 to 784 of the family's 1533-position model. Lineage: Bacteria; Bacillati; Actinomycetota; Actinomycetes; Mycobacteriales; Nocardiaceae. The record is from RNAcentral.